This is a long non-coding RNA of Mercenaria mercenaria, 8652 nucleotides long. RefSeq lists it as uncharacterized. The transcript has 2 exons. The record is from RefSeq and is a predicted model, not a curated record. Lineage: Eukaryota; Metazoa; Mollusca; Bivalvia; Venerida; Veneridae.
UCCAGUGCAGAUGCUGAGGUAUUUCUGGCAAAAAAAACAACACCUUUUAUGCCUAAAAGGUGUUAAGUAACAACCAGGCAUUAAUACCAGUGUACAUGUAUGUUUAUGCAUACACAUAAAAGUAUGAAUUUGAUAUUAUGUGCAGUAAAAUUUAUAUGUUGUGCUUUUUUAGCCCACCAUCAUCAUCAUCAGAUGGUGGGGACUGGGCUAUUCAAAUCACUCUGCAUCCGUGGUCGUCCUUCCAUCUGUCCGUCCAUUAACAAUUUCUUGUUAUCGCAUCUCCUCAGAAACUGCUGGGGGGAUUUUGACCAAACUUUUUUCAGAAUGAUGUAUUGGUAUCGUAGUUGUGUCCCCCUGAAAAUCGGACUGGUUCAACAAUUUUCGAGUGAGUUAUGGCCCUUUGUUUAUUUUUAUAAUUUACAUAGAUUUAUAUAGGGAAAAACUUGGAAACACUUCUUGUCCAAAUCCACAGGGCCUAGGGCUUUGAUAUUUUGUGUGUGACAUCAUCUAGUUGUCCUUUAUUAAGAUUGUUCAAACUUUUCCCCUGGGGUCAAAUAUGACCACGCCCAGGUGGUCACAUGGUUUAGAUAGACUUAUACAGGGAAAAACUUCGAAAAUCUUUUUGUCCAAACCAGAAAGCCGAGGGCUUUGAUAUUUGUAAUGUAGCAUCAUCUAGUGGUUCUCUACAAAGUUUGUUCAAAUUAUCCCCUUAGGGUCAAAUAUGGCCCGCCCCGGGGUUCACAAUGUUUCAUGUAGAGUUAUAUAGGGAAAAUCUUUAAAAAUCUUCUGGUCCGUAACCUUCAACAUUCAAAUUUGGACCACAUGUACAGUAUGAAUGGCAAGAUAAAACUUGACAUGAGUUGACCUUGAUCUUGUGACCUACUUUCACAUUUUUGUAGCUACAGCCUUCAAAUUUGCGCCACAUGCAUAGGUUUGUGUACCAAAACAAACUUUGACCCUGACAUUGACCCAGUGACCUACUUUCAGAUUUUUGAAGAUGCAGGCUUCAAAUUUGGACCACAUACAUAGUUUUGUGUUCUAAAAUGAAAUUUGACCUUGAUUUUGCCCUAGUGACGUACUUUCACAUUUCAGAAGCUACAUGCUUCAAAUUUGGAUCACUUGCAUCUAUAGUUUCGUGUUCUGAAUUGAAAUUUGACUUUGAUUUUUACCUAGUACCUACUUUCACAUUUAUCAAGCUGCAGCCUUCAAAUUUGAAGCACAUGCAUAGUUCAAGCUACAGCUUUCAAAUUUAGACCACAUGCACAGUAUUGUGUACCAAAAUAAACUUUGACCUUGAUUUUGACCUUGAGCUAGUCUUGAAAUUUGAAACAUUAAAAAAUGGCUCAAUGGUGGGCGCCGACUUGUUUAUUUGCUAAAUUUUGUAAGGAUAUUCUAUCAUUUUGAGUUUAAUCAAAGUCUACAUUGUAGAAAAAAUGUUGACCCAAGCUUCUUCUGAUCCUGAUCAGAAACCUCUACCAUACAGUUAAACUUUUAUUUUUGGCAGCAACAAUUAUGGACGGUCAGUGGGUAAAAUAAAAUAAAAGUACUAAAAAUUACUUCUAUUUUUAAUUAUUAUUUUUUUCUAUAAAAAUAGGGUUGGCGCUUCUGUAAUCCAGAAUAUUAAAAAAUGCUGGCCUGACUAUAAUUUGUUGCUGCCAGUUUUAAAAUUGUAUGUUUUUAUUUCAAUGGAUUUCAUUGUACUAUAGGAGUUGGCCAUAAAUUGGGCGAUGCUGACAGAGGUCAUACUAAGAGGAAGUUCUAAACCAAUAGGCCAGUAAUUGGGAGACCCAAGGGUUGUAGUGUUUGACUUGUUUGUGGACAAAUUGUGGUGGCCUUGUUCCACAUACAGUCCAGAUUGCUGCUGCAGAGCUGCAUUUUUCCUAAAAUGCCUAUAACUGAAAUUGCUCAACAAGUGACAGGGAUUGUUAAAACUGGUAAAACAAGCAUGUCAGUAAAUGGAAACCCUCUGUCCUGCUAACGGUCAAAGGAGCGCUGUGGAAUUUCUUUACUCGGUUACAGAAAUUUCAUAAUGUCUUCUUGCUGAAGGUUUGAUCUUCCAGUGCUGGCUACUACAUUGACCAAUAUUUACCAACUACCCACUUAUAUUACCUUCGGUUACAGUUUCCCUUCAAUAGCUGUUCAUAAUACGGUAGUCUUCAACAAGGAGAAACACAAGUCUGCAUUAUUGUAGCCCAGGAUGUGUGCAAAACAACAACAGAGGAAAAUAUUGCCAGUGCGUAACAGACCCUUUCUCAUCUUUACACCACAUUCCAUCUUAAAAGAGAGGAUAGACUUACUGUAACUUUUAACUGUGAAGAACAGUUAAGGCCAACCUAGAGUGCAAUGAAUGAAUGCUAAUAUGAAAAGAACAGUGAAAAGUGCUGUUUUUAAAUAGUGGAUUUUUUCCAAAAAGACAGAAAAAAGUACUAAAGUCAUUGUGCUGCACACAAUGGGCAUGUCUUGCUGAAUUUCUGUAGGGAAAGCAUAUUCUGUCAGCAUACACGUGGCAUGCAUGCAAUUUUUGUUUAGCUCGCCUGUGCAGAAAGUGCUCAUAGUGAGGUAUUGUGAUCACAAUGUGUCCGUAGUCCAUCAACAUUUCUGUUUAAACGACAUCUUCUCCAAAACCACUGAAUGUAUUUUGAUGAAACUUGGCCAUGACGUUCCUUGGGUGGUCCUCUACCAAAGUUGUUCAAAUGGUUCCACUUGGUUGCACAUAGGGGCUGCCAGAGCUAAAAAAAGAAAAAAAUUCAAACAUCUCCUAAACCGAUGGUCCGAUUUUGAAAUAAUUUCACACAAAUGGUCCUUAUGCUACCGUCUACCAAGAUUGUUCAAAUUAUACCGAUUUGUCAAAAAUCAUUGUCGCCAGAGGGCUUGGUCACUUUCCUCUAUUUGUAUUUAGAGGAAACUUAAAAAUUCUUCUUAUAUGAAAUUGCUUGUCUGAUUUUAAAAUAAUUUUGAACAAAUGAUCCUUAUGAGACCCUCUACCAAGAGUGUUCAAAUUAUACUGAUUCAUCAAAAAACAUGACCACCAGAAGGGGUGAUCAAUUUUCCCUAAAUGUAUAUAGUGGAAACUUUAAAAAAUAUUGUAUGAAACUGCUUCUCAGAUUUUAGAAUAAUUUUACACAAAUGGUCCUUGUUUGACCCUCUACCAUGGUUGUUGAAAUUAUUUUUUUUGUCAAAAAACAUGGCAGCAAGGUCACUUUUCACUGUAUGUAUAUAUGGUUGAAACUUUAAAAAUCUUGUGUGAAACUGCUGCCCUGAUUUUAGGAUAAUCUUACAAAUAUGUCCACCAGAGGACGUGGUCAUUUUUUCCUGUAUGUACAUAGUGGAAACUUUAAAAAUCUUUUUUUGUGUGAAAUUGCUGGCCUGGUUUUAAAAUAAUUUUAAACAAAUUGUUCUUGUGGGACCCUCUACCAUGAUUGUUCAAAUUUUUCUGAUUCGUCAAAGAACAUGGCUGCCAGAGUCUGUGGUCACUUUUCUUCUCUGAAUCAAUAAUAGUUAGAACCUUGAUAUUUGGGGCAUUAUAUCAGAUUUGUGUUCCAUAAUUAACCAGGUUUUCAACGAAAACCUGAGUUAUUAGAUUGGGGUAUGUCGUUGGGCGGGCGGAUGGCGGCGUCAAACUGGUGUUUCCGGUCAAUAACUUUUGUUUCGGUAAAGAUAUUUGAAUAAAACUUGGUAUGUAUGUAGCUUAUAUCAAGACAAAGGCUGGGAUGGAUUUUGGGGUUUCUGGGGUCAAGGUCAAGGUCACUGUUACUUAAAAUAGAAAAAGGGUUUCCAGUCAAUAACUUAACUUAGGAAUGAGCUAUCAUGAUGAAACUUGGUGUAUAGAAAACUUACAUAAAGUUGUAGCUUGGCAUUGAUUUUGGGGUUUCUGGGAUCAAGGUCAAGGUCAUUGUUACUAAAAAUAGGGUUAGGGUUAGGCUAGGGUUAGGGUUGUGCUUUAAAGUGGUGCACUGUGAUUCAGUAUACCUUUUUAUUCUUAUGAAAAGUGUUCAAGGUCAUUGUUACUAAAAAUAGGGUUAGGGUUAGGGUUGUGCUUUAAAGUGGUGCACUGUGAUUCAGUAUACUUUUUUAUUCUUAUGAAAAGUGUUGAAAACCUGGUUUCGUGGCAUUGCCGCAUUUCUUGUUGUUCAAAUUAUUUCCCUGGGUUCAGAAGUGUGUAUGACAUUUAUAUGAUAUAGGCUAACAUGGAAUAAACCUAACUCUGUACUAACACAAACACAUUUUAAGCCUUGUACACACCAGAGCCCUUUAGGGUCAUUGACCCUCUUGUUUUUAUUCUCUGCAGGGAAUCACAUGAUCAAAGUAAUCUCUAAACCAAAAUAAAUUUUAUGAAUAAUAUUGAAGAAUCUUUUGCUGUAAAUCCUAUCAUACACCAACAUACAUAGAUUUCAGUCACAAUCACAAUCACCUUCUGGUUGUCUGGAACACUUCAAGAAACUGAUACUUCUUAUUUUCCUUAGUGUUUGUAAUUACAGGAUAUCUAUCAUUAUUGUCAACUCCAUGAUAAUUUAACAAUUUUCAUUAGUCAUAUGAUAGGCUAUGUUUAAAUUUCAUAUCUUAUCAUGACCGGAAAUUUAUUCAUGUUCUUCAAAAUAUAACUUUGGUUUAGAGAUUAUUUUGAUCAUGUGAUUCCCCACAGUGUUAUUAACAGCCUUUGGCACAAGACCACAGUUAUUUGCUCUUGGUUGACCACAAUACGGAAGUGGUUACCUCUGUUUGAUGGUGAAUAUUGGUGAAUUUUUGAGUGAAAGACCUGCAAUAAAUGGCAUGAUUUAAUAGAGGAGAUAUGAAAUAGUAGGUACAUGUACAAUUUGACAGAAUGAAAAUGUCAGAAUAUGCAUAACAUGACUUUUUGAUAGGGCCUGUUUUGCCUGUUUGCGGCCAUCUAGAGAGUAUUCUUCAUACGCAUGUGAUUUGGUUCAAAAUGGUAGAAAAAAAGAGCCGGUCAGCCCAAUGUUUACUGUGGCUGGAAUUUUUUCUCUUGAAUAGUUCUGUUGAGUUCAGGUAUUUUUAUAGGGGUUGGAAUGCAUGCAAAAUUGCUAUAGUGUCCGGUGCCUAUAUAGAACAUAUAGUGAAAACAACUGUGGUCUUAGGCCUGAUAUAGUGGAAAAUGUCAGAAAGUAAAUUGUCAAUAUUUUUAUUAUUUUUCAAUCUACAUGGCUGAAAUUUUGACAGUGAAUGGCUGGUAGGCAUAGAAAUCUGGUAAAUAUUUAGAUUAAUCAUUACAUUUGCUGAAGUUGCUUCAGUUUGGGUAAAAAGUAUACAUGCACUUGAAACUUGUGAAAAAUCCUACUUUCAGUUUACAUAUUUCUGGAUUUUUUCUAAUUUUGCAGGUUUUCAUGCAUGAAAUGCAUUUUUAUAAGUUCUUUGUUUGAAACCGGUAUGCGGAAAACAAAAUGGGGUAUUACAAAUGCCGCGAUGUGAUAUUUUUUUAUUUUUUAGAAAUUUGAGCUGCGAUUGAGGAAAUUUGACCUAAAGUCAGAUAUGUAUUUUUUUCUAUUCUUGUUUACAUAAAAUUGCUCUUUUGGUUACUUGAAUUUACACAGUACACACAGUCUGAAUAGUGAAAUAUGUGUAACCAUAAUCUGUGCAAGAAAAAUCAGUUCAAGGGCUUGAAAAUUGGACAGAUUAGGCCUGAAAUUGGCAUAUUUUAAUUGAUUUUGAAGGAAAACAGGCAGAUUUUCACACACUAGACUUGCAUAUUGGUUUCCUUAAUGCUAUAUUGAGCAUAAAUCAUCAUAUCUGAGGUCCUGAAUUGUAUAUUUACUUACUCUGUUGGAUUUCUUACACUUUUAGUACACAUUUUCAGAAAAAAAAGCUGAAAACCUGAAACGGAAAUAACUUUAACUUGAAGUAAAAUGUUAAUUCGGGGUCUUCCAUACAAGAAAAUACUACAAGUUUUGGACAGAAUUUGUUUUAAUUUUCCAUGUCUGUUAUUCAACAAUAAAUAUACCUGACGUCGCUAACUGUGAGCAAACCCCUAAAUGGCGCUUGUAUGGACGCCGCCAUCUUGAAAUGGACGUCGCGUCAUUUUACAGUGUAAUUAAGUCUAUGGGGAAAAACAUAAAAUCUUGAUUUUUAACUUCAGUUUACACUUUUUCAAAAAACUGGAAAAGGUGCCUAGAGAUAUUAACCGUCUGGUAUUAAUGAUGUCAUUUUAUUGGAGGUCCAAAAUUAGACAUUUAGGAGACUUUGUAUUGCAUAGUAAUAUUUCAUUCACUUGUCAAUUUGUGUAAUUUAUGGGUUAUAUUUACAAAAAAAGUAUUUUUUGAAAGAUGGUUAAAAGGCACAACAUUUGCAUUUCAUUUCAGUAUAGGAAUCAACUAAUAAUAACACAAAGGUUUAAGAGAAUGCCAAGAUAAUGUUGAAGAUAUUGAACAAAAAUUCAAAUUUAGAACAUUCAUUCAAGUUUUCUUGUUUUAUGCCUUUGAAGAUUGUAGCUUUCUCAUCAAACUUGUUUGCCCACCAGAUCUAUAUUGAAGUCUGUUCAAGUUGGAAAUGAACAUUCUUGAUUCAUCUGAAAUAUUUGACUUCUAUACGCUUGAAGGGACGUAUUAUGUUAUAUCCCUCGAGUCCGUCUAACCGUUCGUCCAUUAACAAUUUCGUGUCCGCUCUGUAGCUCUUGAACCCCUUGAAGGAUUUCAAAGAAACUUGAUACAAAUGUUCACCACACCGAGACGACAUGCAGAGCGCAUGUUCCGGAUGACUGGCUUCAAGGUCAAGGUCACACUUAGGGGUCAAAGGUCAUAUAAGUGUGUUUCAUGUCUGCUCUAACUUUUGAACUGCUGGAAGGAUUUCAAAGAAACUUGGCAAAAAUGUUCACCACACCAAGACGACGUGCACAUGUUCCGGAUGAAGGUCGAGUUCAAGGUCGUAGGUCAUAUAUGAAUUGCUUUUUGUCGAGCCCCCUUGCGGAAGCGAAGACAUAGUUGUCCAAAUGGUUGUUCGCUGUAUGUGAGUGCAUCCAUGCGUCUGGAUUUGUUUGUCCGGACCAUAACUUUGACAUGCAUGAAGCAAUCUUGUUUAUAUUUGGCAUGAAUUUAAACCUCAGUAAGGCGUAGUGUCAUGCACAAACCCCAGGUUUUAUCUCAAAGGUCAAGGUCACACUUAGAGAUCAAAGUUCAUAUUCAAUAAUGACAUUGUCUGGAACAUUUCUUCUUCAUGCUUGGAGGAUUUUGAUGUAACUUGGCAAAAUGGUGACGGACUGUCAUCCGCAAGAAUCCGGUCUCUAGGUCUAAGGUCAAGGUCACACUUAGAGGUCAAAGGAUACAAGAAUGACAACUUUGUCAGGAGAAUUUCUUUUUCAUGCAUGGAGGGAUUUUGAUGUAACUUGGCACAAAUGUUCACUACCAUGAGACGGAGUGUCAUGCACAUGAACUAGGUCCUUAGGUCUAAGGUCAAGGUCACACUUAGAGGUCAAAGGUCAGAUACAAGGAUGACAUUGUCCAGAGCAUUUCUUUUUCAUGCAUAGAGAUUUUGAUGUAACUUGGCACAAUUGUUCACCAUCUUGAGAUGGAGUGUCAUUCACAGAAAUCUAGAAUUACUUCCCUUUGCUGUUACUAUUAAUAGGUUAUAUUGUAACUUUUCCAUUACUGGUCAUAGGGAAAAAUUAAGACCACUUUUCUGAAGUACAACAUGCAUGUUACAUCCAAUUUUGAGGUGUAUUUUGACCUAUCUCUACUUGUAAGGACCCGCCCGCUUAGCUCAGUAGGUAAGAGCGUUGGUCUACAGAUCUCGGGGUAGCGAGUUCGAUCCUCGGGCGGGGCGUAUGUUCUCCGUGACUAUUUGAUAAACGACAUUGUGUCUGAAAUUAUUAGUCCUCCACCUCUGAUUAAUGUGGGGAAGUUGGCAGUUACUUGCGGAGAACAGGUUUGUACUGGUACAGAAUCCAGGAAUACUGAUUAGGUUAACUGCCCGCCGUUACAUGACUGAAAUACUGUUGAAAAACGGCAUUAAACCCAAAACAAACAAACAAACUACUUGUAAGGAUUUACUUCCCUUUGUUGUUACUACAUAAAAUCAUCAGUAGGCAGACAUGUAACAUAACAUUACUGGACCACUGAUUCAGAGAGAAUAUAUUUUUAUGUAUAAAAUCAUCAGUAGGCAGACAUGUAACAUCGCAUUACUGGACCACUGGUACAGAGAUAAUAUGUUUUUAUGUAUAAAAUCAUCAGUAGGCAGACAUGUAACAUCGCAUUACUGGACCACUGGUACAGAGAUAAUAUAUUUUUAUGUAUAAAAUCAUCAGUAGGCAGACAUGUAACAUCGCAUUACUGGACCACUGGUACAGAGAUAAUAUAUUUUUAUAUAUAAAAUCAUCAGUAGGCAGACAUGUAACAUCGCAUUACUAGUCCACUGGUACGGAGGAGAAAAUAUUUUUAUGUAUAAAAUCAUCAAUAGUCAGACAUUAAACAUAGCACUACUGGACCUUUCAUACAAAGAAAAUAUAUUUUUACAUGUGAAAUCAUCAGUAGGAAGACAUGUAACAUAGCACAAUUUUCAUUGUUUUAACAUCUUCGAUAUAGUUUCAUCACUAUAAUUUCAAAUUGGUUGCUAUGUCCUGAACUUGUAUUUGCGCUAAAAAAAAUAAUGAAAAAGAUUUUAUCAGUACACUUGAUGGCGCACUCACCAGCAUGAUUUGACUAAAAA